This 531-nucleotide ribosomal RNA is filed under the name Streptococcus sanguinis. RNAcentral's name for it is "bacterial SSU rRNA". It matches the Rfam family "Bacterial small subunit ribosomal RNA", at positions 397 to 916 of the family's 1533-position model. Lineage: Bacteria; Bacillati; Bacillota; Bacilli; Lactobacillales; Streptococcaceae. The record is from RNAcentral.
CCGCGUGAGUGAAGAAGGGUUCGGAUGCGUAAAGCUCUGUUGUAAGAGAAGAACGGGUGGUGGAGAGUGGAAAGUUCACACUGUGACGGUAUGCUUACCAGAAAGGGACGGCUAACUACGUGCCAGCAGCCGCGGUAAUACGUAGGUCCCGAGCGUUGUCCGGAUUUAUUGGGCGUAAAGCGAGCGCAGGCGGUUAGAUAAGUCUGAAGUUAAAGGCUGUGGCUUAACCAUAGUAUGCUUUGGAAACUGUUUAACUUGAGUGCAGAAGGGGAGAGUGGAAUUCCAUGUGUAGCGGUGAAAUGCGUAGAUAUAUGGAGGAACACCGGUGGCGAAAGCGGCUCUCUGGUCUGUAACUGACGCUGAGGCUCGAAAGCGUGGGGAGCAAACAGGAUUAGAUACCCUGGUAGUCCACGCCGUAAACGAUGAGUGCUAGGUGUUAGGCCCUUUCCGGGGCUUAGUGCCGCAGCUAACGCAUUAAGCACUCCGCCUGGGGAGUACGACCGCAAGGUUGAAACUCAAAGGAAUUGACGG